UUUCUUGUGAGAUUUCAAUUUCUGUUGUUAUUGUUGCUAUUUCUGUGUUUUUUUAUCAUUAUUAUGAUUAUUAUUUUUAUUAUUAGAUUAUUAGAGUCUANNNNNNNNNNNNNNNNNNNNNNNNNNGAUUCACAAUCUGUGUUAGUUGGUUAAAGAGUAUACUAUAGUAUUUAUUAGAGUCCAGAUUUAUUUUUGAUAUAAUUUGUAAAUUAAGACCAUGGUUAUAAGCAUUAAAUUUUGACCAUGUUAGUUGGUUAAAGAGUAUACAUCAGUGAUCAGUCAUCCCACAAGCACACACUUGCAGCACUUCAGUAAGAAAAUAAAACUAUGUAGUUUUGUAACUGUGUAGUUCAGUUCAUGAUGUAGCAGUUCAGUUUAAAAAUGUGAAACCUGAUGCAGUUUCACAAACCACAGUUAGUCUUUUUUCACUUUGCAAAGUCAGUUUUAAUAAAGCACAUAUGCAAAACUGUAAAAUAAAUAAACACUUCUUUUAUAGUUUUAAAAGACAGCUUCCUCUGGAAUUAUUUCUUACCGAUAAGACUCAUUUUUAGUAAACAAUGGCUUAUCACCCUUGUGCCUAGCCUAAUUGUGAUAUAUUCUCAUGUUGUAGACAGAGACUAUAUUCUCAUUAUUUCUAGCUGUUUCCUUUGUUUUAGUAAUAUUAUUAUUUAAAUGUGAUUUGAUCCUUUAGUCUUAUGGCACUGUAGGUUGUGCUGUAUAUGAAAGUUGCCCUGUAUUGUUCCCCCAUUUAUUCUUUUACUCUGUAUUUUAGUUACCCCAUAAUUCAUAAAUUACCUCAUAAUCUGAUAAGAGCUGCGAUCCUUGGAGAAUUUUGAAAAACCGAUCUAAAGGCUUUAAUUAUCCUCUUUACCAAUGGCUUGGAAACCCACUAGCUUGUAUGCAGAAGAUAUGUUGUUAGGAUAGAUCCAGGAUAUUGAAGCAACUGAUCUGGUUUCCUCUCUGAUGUAUGUAUGAUGUGUGUUUGCUGCUUGUUUGUAUCUAGCACAGGUCGGAGGCUUCUGCUUAUAUGGCUUUCAGCACCUUAUCUCUGCUAAAUUGGAUGACUUGGUUUUUUUGUGUCUUUUUGUGUUUCCUUGACAGAGGCUGACAUGAUUUUUUAGGACAGUUUGUGGACUGGUGGUGUUGAUUCUUUAUCCUUUGUGGUAUUCUAAUUUUGCAGCUGAAUCGUCUUGGUUGCAUCUCAAAUUCUCUGUCCGGUAGGCUGCGGCAGAAG
This 1234-nucleotide long non-coding RNA is filed under the name Trifolium pratense (red clover). Its description in RNAcentral is "long non-coding RNA (TPRA_LNC006361)". Lineage: Eukaryota; Viridiplantae; Streptophyta; Magnoliopsida; Fabales; Fabaceae. The record is from RNAcentral.